Cavia aperea (Brazilian guinea pig) is the source of this 326-nucleotide unclassified non-coding RNA. Its record names the gene 7SK. It matches the Rfam family "7SK RNA". From Rfam's summary of the family: 7SK was discovered as an abundant small nuclear RNA in the mid-70s but a possible function has only recently been suggested. Two independent studies have found that 7SK RNA binds the CDK9/cyclin T complex (known as elongation factor P-TEFb). The record is from Ensembl. NCBI's taxonomy places the organism in Eukaryota, Metazoa, Chordata, Mammalia, Rodentia, Caviidae.
GAAAUGCCGGAUGUGCUGCGACAUUUGUCACCCCCUUGAUCGCCAGGAGUGAUUCACCUGACCUGGCUCACAAGGCGAGUGCUCCCUUCCGCCCUCCACGUUCCAUGUGUGCUCCUGCUGAAGCUUCUCGCUCAGUGGAGGAAGACAACCACCCCAAUAGACAAGCACCAGUCCUCCGUCGGGUACAGGGACAGCCAGGCUCCCCUGCGAGGACCUCCAAGCAAGCUCUCCAGAUUUUAAGUGCCAUCUGCUCUCCACCUGGAGCAGGGCAGGACGGGAGGGGAUGGAGUCAUCCGAGGGGCUGGUGUGCCAGAUGGUGACAUCUC